This 426-nucleotide long non-coding RNA is filed under the name Pan troglodytes (chimpanzee). Its description in RNAcentral is "long non-coding RNA NONPTRT002646". The record is from RNAcentral. Lineage: Eukaryota; Metazoa; Chordata; Mammalia; Primates; Hominidae.
GCGGGGGCGUCGGGAGAGAGGAGGCUCGAAACUACAUUUCCCAUGACGCAGUGAGAAUUUAAAACCAAAACAAUUGGACAGCACUUGUUUUGACAACUGUGCGGCACUGUGCCACGGGACCCUGGUCUUUGAAACCUUGGCGUGCGCGAGAAUUUCCCAGUAUGACAGAGCCAAAACUCCAAGUCAUGUCAGUAGGGCAUGCCCAGUAGAAAAUGCUUUGACAUCUAACAACACCCAGAACCAAUGAUUCCUCCCUGUGGUACCAAGAAGACCUAGACAUGAUCGGAACCUAAAUGCUGGAACUCUUUCGGGAGCAAAGGGUCUGUUGACCAGAAAGAUCCAGGGCUAAAAUCCACCUCAACAUACCUGUGUAGUCAAAUUUGACACCCUCCAAUCAGACCCUGCCAAGCUGGGUCUUAUACGUUU